GUUCCUGGAGGCCUGACAGACAGCCGAUCCCGCUAUUAUCACAAGUCCGCUUUGUGACGAGCUGGUCAACACGCGGGAGGAGACAUAUAUGAUUCCACUUGUGCAAAGUCUGCCUAUGUUGCAACCUUGGGCGAUCGGUUCAUUGGAUUCUUGAAACCAGUGCCUUUUCUGAAGUAAGUCUGGCAUGCAAGGUACCCUCACGGUUUAUUUUCAAGAGAUGGCGUUGGGGUCUCGGGGACGUGCCGGACGGCGUCGCGUUCCUGCACCUUGGGGAUGGCUUUGGGUUGAAUUCCCCUCCAUGCAAUCUUGUGCUCCUUUGGGUGUUUCUAAUCUUUCUGCCUUCUAGCGUAAAUAGAGAGAUGUUCUCCCAUCGCUAUUGGCUGUCAAAUUAGCGAUGCAAUCCAUCCCUAUGUCGGCACAAUCAGCAGAACAAAGCAGCUACCAUGAUUUGCCCAUUGAUCUCUUGGAGUGAUUCAAACCUGCAAGCACCAGGAUUGAGUGACUCCUGCAUAUGAUGACUGAAGAAUUUUUCAUCAAUUUUCCAACUUGAAUUAGCUACAGAAGGGAAAAGAGGAGUCCAGG
Long non-coding RNA from Triticum dicoccoides, 582 nucleotides. RefSeq lists it as uncharacterized. The transcript is spliced from 5 exons. The record is from RefSeq and is a predicted model, not a curated record. NCBI's taxonomy places the organism in Eukaryota, Viridiplantae, Streptophyta, Magnoliopsida, Poales, Poaceae.